ACCUGUAUGCGUUCUGCAGUGUAAACGGGCAAACGACCUGAAAGUGACCCGCAUGCGCAGUAGAGGGCGCAAUGACUAUAUCUGUGAUGUGAAGUGAAUCGGGAAAAAAAAUCAUUUAUUCUUCAAAUUCACAUUGUUUAGUCAAAAAGUUGUUUCUCCAGUCAUUAAUUAUGUUAUACUGCUGUUGAUGGUUUGUCGUAACCAUAGCAACCAAGUGACACCUCGUCCCCUUUUUCUGUUGCCGUCUUUUACUGCGGUAUGUAUUAUGGUCAGAUCUGUGAUGUAUUUAUAUGUAUUGUAGUUAUAAAAUGUAUUUUAAGCAAAUGCAUUUAUAUACCGGGUGUAAUGGACAAAUAUUGCGAUGUUUUGUAUUUUUUAACCUAUAAUGUGUAUUUUAAAUUUGACAUUUUACAAAUUUUAACUGCUUAUCGGGAACCAUGUAUUUUAUUUAAUGUGAAGGGGCAGAAGCUGGUGAAGUGAUGUUAACCACCAACUUGAUUUCCUCUCUUUUUAGAAUAAAUAUGUUGAACCGUUGUAAACAACGUAAGGUCGACCUGAGACGAACAUUAAACAUGGAAAUGGAUGGAAACAUGGAUGGAAACAUGGAUGGAAAUGGAACAUAUUUAGCGAUCUUCCAGUUGUUGUCCAACCGCAGGCAUCUUAAUAACAUACUCCUCUUAAGAAGAUCGAAAAGAAAGAGAGCCAGGAGUUUGGCCAUGGCAUUUUGUGGGGCAGUGGCAGCAACAUCGGUGCAGCGUAAUGUGUGGGCUCGGAGUUGAAGUCAGGAGUGGUGGGAAACAGAAGUAAUUGGCUUUGAUGACAUCAAUUUCAUCCAAAAUUUUAGAGUGUCAAGAGAAACAUUUAUGUACAUAUGUGAGCGUCUAUCUUUGACACUCACAUGUGCAGCCACACAUCUUCGGCAACCCAUACCAGUGGGCAAAAGGGUUGCCGUCGGACUGUAUUGGCUUGCAACAGGUGCGUGCUAUCGCACUAUAAGCAACCUCUUCGGUAUUGCGAGGUCCACCGUCUGUUCCAUAGUCCACAAGUUCUGCAAAGCAGUUCGUCAUGUACUCAUGCCGGAGUACAUUAAAAUGCCCCACGGAGCUGCUCUGCAGGAGGUCAUCGCAGGUUUCAAAGAGAGAUGGGGAUUCCUGCAGUGCGGAGGAGCGAUCGAUGGCACCCAUAUCCCCAUAGUUGCUCCAGAGAAGAAUCCCAGUGAUUAUUUCAACCGCAAGGGAUGGCACUCAGUCAUUCUACAGGGAAUAGUGGAUCAUCGUCUUUGCUUUACCAACAUUUAUAGUGGGUGGCCAGGAAGCGUCCAUGAUGCCAGGGUCCUCAAAAAUUCACAUGUUUAUGCACUGGCAGAGAAAGGGGAUCUUUUUCCACCAAAUACUGAAGAGAUAAUGGGUGUUCGAGUGCCUAUAAUGCUGCUAGGUGACCCAGGUGACC
Molecule: long non-coding RNA, 1449 nt
Organism: Poecilia latipinna (sailfin molly)
Lineage: Eukaryota; Metazoa; Chordata; Actinopteri; Cyprinodontiformes; Poeciliidae
Exons: 3
Source: RefSeq, a predicted model, not a curated record